GGGGAAUUUUGGACAAUGGGCGAAAGCCUGAUCCAGCAAUGCCGCGUGCAGGAAGAAGGCCUCCGGGUUGUAAACUGCUUUUGUACGGAACGAAAAGGUUCUUUUUAAUAAAGAGGACUGAUGACGGUACCGUAAGAAUAAGCACCGGCUAACUACGUGCCAGCAGCCGCGGUAAUACGUAGGGUGCGAGCGUUAAUCGGAAUUACUGGGCGUAAAGCGUGCGCAGGCGGUGAUGUAAGACAGAUGUGAAAUCCCCGGGCUCAACCUGGGAACUGCAUUUGUGACUGCAUCGCUGGAGUGCGGCAGAGGGGGAUGGAAUUCCGCGUGUAGCAGUGAAAUGCGUAGAUAUGCGGAGGAACACCGAUGGCGAAGGCAAUCCCCUGGGCCUGCACUGACGCUAGUGCACGAAAGCGUGGGGAGCAAAC
RNAcentral lists this ribosomal RNA (425 nucleotides) under uncultured bacterium. Its description in RNAcentral is "bacterial SSU rRNA". It matches the Rfam family "Bacterial small subunit ribosomal RNA", at positions 356 to 773 of the family's 1533-position model. The record is from RNAcentral.